RNAcentral lists this ribosomal RNA (1924 nucleotides) under Escherichia coli. RNAcentral's name for it is "partial 23S ribosomal RNA". It matches the Rfam family "Bacterial large subunit ribosomal RNA", at positions 216 to 2164 of the family's 2925-position model. Lineage: Bacteria; Pseudomonadati; Pseudomonadota; Gammaproteobacteria; Enterobacterales; Enterobacteriaceae. The record is from RNAcentral.
GAAAAGAAAUCAACCGAGAUUCCCCCAGUAGCGGCGAGCGAACGGGGAGCAGCCCAGAGCCUGAAUCAGUGUGUGUGUUAGUGGAAGCGUCUGGAAAGGCGCGCGAUACAGGGUGACAGCCCCGUACACAAAAAUGCACAUGCUGUGAGCUCGAUGAGUAGGGCGGGACACGUGGUAUCCUGUCUGAAUAUGGGGGGACCAUCCUCCAAGGCUAAAUACUCCUGACUGACCGAUAGUGAACCAGUACCGUGAGGGAAAGGCGAAAAGAACCCCGGCGAGGGGAGUGAAAAAGAACCUGAAACCGUGUACGUACAAGCAGUGGGAGCACGCUUAGGCGUGUGACUGCGUACCUUUUGUAUAAUGGGUCAGCGACUUAUAUUCUGUAGCAAGGUUAACCGAAUAGGGGAGCCGAAGGGAAACCGAGUCUUAACUGGGCGUUAAGUUGCAGGGUAUAGACCCGAAACCCGGUGAUCUAGCCAUGGGCAGGUUGAAGGUUGGGUAACACUAACUGGAGGACCGAACCGACUAAUGUUGAAAAAUUAGCGGAUGACUUGUGGCUGGGGGUGAAAGGCCAAUCAAACCGGGAGAUAGCUGGUUCUCCCCGAAAGCUAUUUAGGUAGCGCCUCGUGAAUUCAUCUCCGGGGGUAGAGCACUGUUUCGGCAAGGGGGUCAUCCCGACUUACCAACCCGAUGCAAACUGCGAAUACCGGAGAAUGUUAUCACGGGAGACACACGGCGGGUGCUAACGUCCGUCGUGAAGAGGGAAACAACCCAGACCGCCAGCUAAGGUCCCAAAGUCAUGGUUAAGUGGGAAACGAUGUGGGAAGGCCCAGACAGCCAGGAUGUUGGCUUAGAAGCAGCCAUCAUUUAAAGAAAGCGUAAUAGCUCACUGGUCGAGUCGGCCUGCGCGGAAGAUGUAACGGGGCUAAACCAUGCACCGAAGCUGCGGCAGCGACGCUUAUGCGUUGUUGGGUAGGGGAGCGUUCUGUAAGCCUGUGAAGGUGUGCUGUGAGGCAUGCUGGAGGUAUCAGAAGUGCGAAUGCUGACAUAAGUAACGAUAAAGCGGGUGAAAAGCCCGCUCGCCGGAAGACCAAGGGUUCCUGUCCAACGUUAAUCGGGGCAGGGUGAGUCGACCCCUAAGGCGAGGCCGAAAGGCGUAGUCGAUGGGAAACAGGUUAAUAUUCCUGUACUUGGUGUUACUGCGAAGGGGGGACGGAGAAGGCUAUGUUGGCCGGGCGACGGUUGUCCCGGUUUAAGCGUGUAGGCUGGUUUUCCAGGCAAAUCCGGAAAAUCAAGGCUGAGGCGUGAUGACGAGGCACUACGGUGCUGAAGCAACAAAUGCCCUGCUUCCAGGAAAAGCCUCUAAGCAUCAGGUAACAUCAAAUCGUACCCCAAACCGACACAGGUGGUCAGGUAGAGAAUACCAAGGCGCUUGAGAGAACUCGGGUGAAGGAACUAGGCAAAAUGGUGCCGUAACUUCGGGAGAAGGCACGCUGAUAUGUAGGUGAAGUCCCUUGCGGAUGGAGCUGAAAUCAGUCGAAGAUACCAGCUGGCUGCAACUGUUUAUUAAAAACACAGCACUGUGCAAACACGAAAGUGGACGUAUACGGUGUGACGCCUGCCCGGUGCCGGAAGGUUAAUUGAUGGGGUCAGCGCAAGCGAAGCUCUUGAUCGAAGCCCCGGUAAACGGCGGCCGUAACUAUAACGGUCCUAAGGUAGCGAAAUUCCUUGUCGGGUAAGUUCCGACCUGCACGAAUGGCGUAAUGAUGGCCAGGCUGUCUCCACCCGAGACUCAGUGAAAUUGAACUCGCUGUGAAGAUGCAGUGUACCCGCGGCAAGACGGAAAGACCCCGUGAACCUUUACUAUAGCUUGACACUGAACAUUGAGCCUUGAUGUGUAGGAUAGGUGGGAGGCUUGGAAGUG